Long non-coding RNA from Nicotiana tabacum (common tobacco), 359 nucleotides. RefSeq lists it as uncharacterized. Lineage: Eukaryota; Viridiplantae; Streptophyta; Magnoliopsida; Solanales; Solanaceae. The record is from RefSeq and is a predicted model, not a curated record.
AUAAUCUUUAAUUGGAGUUCCAAUCUGUUUGGGUUUUGGAUUACAAUUUUUCUUCUAUUUUUAUAAAAAAAUCUUUUGGUCACUCUUUUUAUCAAACAAGGAAUCGUCACCGCAAGCCCUCAAACAUCUCGCCUCGUCCGUCCUUUUCAGAAAAAAGAAUUGUCGCUUGCAGCCCUCGCCUGGCGCUGCAUCUCGUUGCUCUUGGUUCUCCCCUUCGUCGCUAUCAGACCACUCUGAUUGCAUGAUGAUGAGGUGACAAAGAAGGAUCAUGUGGCAGCUGGGCUUUGUUGCAUACAAUUGUUUAUGAAUUCUUCUUCUCAGGAAGAAGCUAUAAGAUACUUGGAGAACGCCAAGGUCAG